CAGCCGCCGCGGGAAUACGUAGGGCGCAAGCGUUAUCCGGAAUUAUUGGGCGUAAAGAGCUCGUAGGCGGUUUGUCGCGUCUGCUGUGAAAUCCCGAGGCUCAACCUCGGGCCUGCAGUGGGUACGGGCAGACUAGAGUGCGGUAGGGGAGAUUGGAAUUCCUGGUGUAGCGGUGGAAUGCGCAGAUAUCAGGAGGAACACCGAUGGCGAAGGCAGAUCUCUGGGCCGUAACUGACGCUGAGGAGCGAAAGGGUGGGGAGCAAACAGGCUUAGAUACCCCGGUAGUCCCUGUCUCUUAUAC
RNAcentral lists this ribosomal RNA (301 nucleotides) under uncultured bacterium. RNAcentral describes it as "partial 16S ribosomal RNA". It matches the Rfam family "Bacterial small subunit ribosomal RNA", at positions 509 to 807 of the family's 1533-position model. The record is from RNAcentral.